UCCCUGGUGGCUCAGAGGUUAAAGCAUCUGCCUGCAAUGUGGGAGACCUGGGUUCGAUACCUGGUUUGGGAA
This 72-nucleotide transfer RNA is filed under the name Bos taurus (domestic cattle). It matches the Rfam family "tRNA". Rfam says of the family: Transfer RNA (tRNA) molecules are approximately 80 nucleotides in length. Their secondary structure includes four short double-helical elements and three loops (D, anti-codon, and T loops). The record is from Rfam by way of RNAcentral. Lineage: Eukaryota; Metazoa; Chordata; Mammalia; Artiodactyla; Bovidae.